This 497-nucleotide ribosomal RNA is filed under the name uncultured bacterium. RNAcentral describes it as "partial 16S ribosomal RNA". It matches the Rfam family "Bacterial small subunit ribosomal RNA", at positions 28 to 507 of the family's 1533-position model. The record is from RNAcentral.
GAUGAACGCUGGCGGCGUGCCUAAUACAUGCAAGUCGAGCGAACGGACGAGAAGCUUGCUUCUCUGAUGUUAGCGGCGGACGGGUGAGUAACACGUGGAUAACCUGCCUAUAAGACUGGGAUAACUUCGGGAAACCGGAGCUAAUACCGGAUGAUAUUUUGAACCGCAUGGUUCAAAAGUGAAAGACGGUCUUGCUGUCACUUAUAGAUGGAUCCGCGCUGCAUUAGCUAGUUGGUAAGGUAACGGCUUACCAAGGCAACGAUGCAUAGCCGACCUGAGAGGGUGAUCGGCCACACUGGAACUGAGACACGGUCAAGACUCCUAAGGGAGGCAGCAGUAGGGAAUCUGACGCAAUGGGCGAAAGCCUGACGGAGCAACGCCGCGUGAGUGAUGACGGUCUUCGGAUCGUAAAACUCGGUUAUUAGGGAAGAACAUAUGUGUAAGUAACUGUGCACACCUUGACGGUAACUAAUCAGAAAGCCACGGCUAACUACGUG